This 797-nucleotide ribosomal RNA is filed under the name uncultured Bacillota bacterium. RNAcentral describes it as "bacterial SSU rRNA". It matches the Rfam family "Bacterial small subunit ribosomal RNA", at positions 65 to 867 of the family's 1533-position model. Lineage: Bacteria; Bacillati; Bacillota. The record is from RNAcentral.
AGCGAGAAAGGGGCUUCGGCCCUGAGUAAAGCGGCGCACGGGUGAGUAACACGUGGGUAAUCUGCCCUAGAGUGGGGAAUAACAUCGGGAAACCGAUGCUAAUACCGCAUACGCUCAUGAGAUCUUCGGAUUUUGUGACGAAAGGAGCAAUCCGCUCUUGGAGGAGCCCGCGGCUGAUUAGCUAGUUGGUAAGGUAAUGGCUUACCAAGGCUACGAUCAGUAUCCGGUCUGAGAGGACGGUCGGACACACUGGAACUGAGACACGGUCCAGACUCCUACGGGAGGCAGCAGUGGGGAAUUUUUGGCAAUGGGGGAAACCCUGACCAAGCAACGCCGCGUGGAUGAUGAAGUAUCUUGGUACGUAAAAUCCUUUCGACGGGGAAGAAAACCGCAAGGUUUGACGGUACCCGUAGAAGAAGCCCCGGCUAACUCCGUGCCAGCAGCCGCGGUAAUACGGGGGGGGCAAGCGUUGUUCGGAAUUACUGGGCGUAAAGGGCGCGUAGGCGGUUUGUUAAGUUGGAUGUGAAAACUGUGGGCUCAACCCACAGCCUGCAUCCAAUACUGACAGGCUAGAGUUCUGGAGGGGAUAGCGGAAUUCCUGGUGUAGCGGUGAAAUGCGUAGAUAUCAGGAGGAACACCGGUGGCGAAGGCGGCUAUCUGGACAGAGUCUGACGCUGAUGCGCGAAAGCUAGGGGAGCAAACAGGAUUAGAUACCCUGGUAGUCCUAGCCCUAAACGAUGGAUACUUGCUGUGACUGGGAUUGAAUCCAGUCGUGGCGAAGCUAACGCAUUAAGUAU